Molecule: ribosomal RNA, 116 nt
Filed under: Anolis carolinensis (green anole)
Lineage: Eukaryota; Metazoa; Chordata; Lepidosauria; Squamata; Anolidae
Source: RNAcentral
UCCGGCAAAAAUACCCUAAAAGCACCAGAUCCUAUCUGAUCUUGGAAACUAAGUAGGACCAGCCCUGGUUAGUACUUGGAUGGGAGAUUACCAACAAAUACCAGAUUUUGUAGGUG